UGGAGGACGCCGAACAAGUUUCUCUCUGGUUGGCAAGAGCCUCAAUUUCGGUUAGGCUUCUACGCGGACAGCACCACUAUGGAGCUGUCAGAGUGAGUGCAGUCACCAGCGGUACGCCGAAAAGCUGGAAGUUCGUGGCAACUAGUAUCCUGACCCGUACACUAUUUCGGCGUGGAAGAAUGACCCGAAGCGCGUUGGGCAAACGUUAGGUUUGGGGACAUAUACGUGUACCUCCUUCACACGCCUGGCCCGUACAGUGCCGAGGCGAUGAAGUCCUACCGAUCGCUGAAAGCGCACGGCCUUGCCAUGGAAGGGCACGCACACGAAGUGCUAAUUUCCGACUUGAGUAUGGAAUGCUGUUUCCUGAAAGCAGAAGUGACGCCGUCGCAGAGGACGACCGCCAAGCCCUACGAGGCGUGGGCUCUUGUUUGUAAAGACGGCAGCGUCCACACGGCGCAUUGUGCGUGCAUGGCUGGACUUGGAGAAGUCUGCGAACAUGUGGCAGCACUGCUUUUCAAGGUGGAGCUGCUCGUUUCGUCUGGGUUUGCGAGGUCGACAACAUCAUAGCUUUGCGAGCGGAACAACAAGUUUCGAGAGAGUUUACAGAUGAAUCCAAGUGGUCCACCUGGCAACCUAGGAUUACAUCACGUGGGUUCACGGCGGCCGAGGCAGGAUAUAAAGGACAGCUGGCUGGCUCCCACUUCGGGCGCGACAUCACAUCCAAUAUGUCGCACUCACGCUGGUUAUUAUUACAGGGAGGUGAUGAAGCCGCGGGCCACUCCCACGUUGGUACGAGAAGGCGAAGCCUCACCGCCGCAUCAUUGGCUGUCUGGACAGCCUAUACUUGAAGUGAAAGCUCGGAGCUCCGCAGCGCAGAGCUCCACUCUUCUGAGGUACAGCUAUGCGGGCCUCUCUGUAACGAGGGGCACUCCCAGAGGAUGUGUUCUGAAUUACUUUUCUGUCGACAGCUCGACAGUCCGGACUAAAGGCGUCUAGGUUGAUGGAGUGAAAUAAAGUCAAGUUUGGAUACGAUGCUGUCUGAAGCAUUCGCAGUGUGAUACUUUGUGGUCUGUUUAGUUUAUUGUGUGUGUGUGUGGUGAAGAUUUGCGUU
Non-coding RNA from Dermacentor andersoni, 1111 nucleotides. The record is from RefSeq and is a predicted model, not a curated record. Lineage: Eukaryota; Metazoa; Arthropoda; Arachnida; Ixodida; Ixodidae.